Molecule: transfer RNA, 26 nt
Filed under: Acanthocercus cyanogaster
Lineage: Eukaryota; Metazoa; Chordata; Lepidosauria; Squamata; Agamidae
Description: partial tRNA-Leu
Source: RNAcentral
ACUUUAAAUGGAAAAUAGCUACCCAU